UAGAUAAGAUUCCAGAUUCUCUUCCUGCAACCAUUAUAAUACCAAAAAGCUCAACCAGCAAACAAGAUUUAGCCUAUAAGUACAAAGAUGCUGCAAAGACUAUAUCCCUCUUGAUUUUGGUGAUGGCCUCUUCAAAUUUCGCUUCAAGGUGUGUCUCACCAAUGGAUUUCGCUGCUUGUAUUAGCUGCUGAAGAACUUCCUCCAGUCUCCGGAUUGCCCUGAUCAAGCUGCCUUCGAAAACCUGUGCAAAUUGCAUGAUUGUAGCUUAUAACUGUCCCUACAUACUGUACGAAAUGGUACUUACAAGUACCUAUAAGCUCAAACCAAACAUGCCCCCUGAAAGGUUGUAGCUGGUUGAUUGUGUGCACAACAGAAACCAAAUGAAAAGUGCUAUAUAUAAUGCAAUAAAUUAAGGUAAAUUACCCAAAAAAAAAAAAAAAAAAAGGUCCAAAACGCACACAAUAUUUUGCAUGUAGUACGUAUAACAAUUCUAGUUAGAAAUUGAGAAUCUGCACUCCAGCAGAUCAAAAAUCUAAAAUAAAUUAUUGGAUGAUACAAUAUACUAAAAGCCGUUUAAACUAUGCUAACCUAUGUAACGAUUAACUUAGCCUCUCUCUCUCUCUCUCUCUCUCGCUCUCUCUGCUUGAAGAUUAUCCUGACUUUUGACCUUUCAUCAAUCAUCGUCCAGGACGCAGAAGACAAAAUUGUCACAAAUAAAGUUAAUUUCACAAACAGGUAGACCCCAUCCUUGAAAACAAGACAAUGAUCUUUCUUCCUUCUUUCCAUAAAACUCUCCCUGUGAGCAUUUUCCCAGCUGAUUAGAUAAGAUUCCAGAUUCUCUUCCUGCAACCAUUAUAAUACCAAAAAGCUCAACCAGCAAACAAGAUUUAGCCUAUAAGUACAAAGAUGCUGCAAAGACUAUAUCCCUCUUGAUUUUGGUGAUGGCCUCUUCAAAUUUCGCUUCAAGGUGUGUCUCACCAAUGGAUUUCGCUGCUUGUAUUAGCUGCUGAAGAACUUCCUCCAGUCUCCGGAUUGCCCUGAUCAAGCUGCCUUCGAAAACCUGUGCAAAUUGCAUGAUUGUGGAAAAUUUGGAUCCCUUGGCCCAGUCAUACACAG
Molecule: long non-coding RNA, 1116 nt
Filed under: Olea europaea (common olive)
Lineage: Eukaryota; Viridiplantae; Streptophyta; Magnoliopsida; Lamiales; Oleaceae
Description: long non-coding RNA (OEUR_LNC005761)
Source: RNAcentral